RNAcentral lists this RNase P RNA (338 nucleotides) under bovine gut metagenome. RNAcentral's name for it is "Bacterial RNase P class B". It matches the Rfam family "Bacterial RNase P class B". From Rfam's summary of the family: Ribonuclease P (RNase P) is a ubiquitous endoribonuclease, found in archaea, bacteria and eukarya as well as chloroplasts and mitochondria. Its best characterised activity is the generation of mature 5'-ends of tRNAs by cleaving the 5'-leader elements of precursor-tRNAs. The record is from RNAcentral.
UUAGGUAAACGCUAUAUUAUUUAAUGUAGAGGAAAGUCCAUGCUCACAGAACCUGUGAUGGUUCUAGUGUUCGCGCUAGAGGAAAAAAUAACUCUAGGUAGUAGAAAUACUAACGGCGACGAAUUAACCUAAGUCUUUGAUAUGGUUAUAGUAGUCAUAAAGUGUCAUAGUGACGAAGAAAUUGGAAACGAUGGAUGUGGAACGUGAUAAACCCCACGAGUGAGAAACCCAAAUUUUGGUAGGGGAGCUUUAAUUUCAGGAAAAGAACUGAAUUAGGGACUAGUUAACUAGUAGAUAAAUGUUUACCACCUUUAAAAAGGUACAGAACAUGGCUUAUU